This 317-nucleotide unclassified non-coding RNA is filed under the name Hevea brasiliensis (rubber tree). The record is from RNAcentral. Lineage: Eukaryota; Viridiplantae; Streptophyta; Magnoliopsida; Malpighiales; Euphorbiaceae.
AAAAUCGGAAAAAGACCUAGAGAUUUGUUAAAUCCCAAGGCUAUAAAGUAUAUGCAAGCAGUUUUCUCCAUAAAAGAUGCAAUCAGCAAGAAGGAAUCUCGUGAGAUAAGUGCUCAAUUUGGCGUAACUGUCACGCAGGUUCGAGAUUUCUUUGCUAGCCAGCGUUCAAGAGUGAGGAAACUAGUCCAUUUAUCAAGAGAGAAAGCUGCUAGAACAAAUUCAUGUAAAGAGCCACAAGAUGGGGUCUCAGCGAGCUCUGAUCCUAUGAUUCCUAUUGAUCUGGCUCCAUUAAACUCUGUCCAUCCUGAUCCUGUUCC